Cinara cedri is the source of this 481-nucleotide non-coding RNA. The record is from the annotation of a GenBank genome assembly. Lineage: Eukaryota; Metazoa; Arthropoda; Insecta; Hemiptera; Aphididae.
UUGCAUUUACUUGAUUUUUCAACAAUUUGACAUUAUGUUAUUAGGAUUAAGAUCUAAAUUGUCCUAUGUACCUAUUAUAUAGUAUUAUAUCUUAUAAAAUUAAUUAUACAUUAUGAAUUUUAUUUUUUUAACCCCAAGAUUAAUUUUGCAGUCUUCCAUACUCUUUCUAUUCCUUCCUGUCACCAGCUAACAUCUUCAAUUUGUUAGUUAUCUGUAUUUAUUUGAUGAAACUUGUAAAAUUAUUUGUUUGGCAAUUUUAAUUGUCCUCUGCUUGUCUUAUCAUUUAUUUUUACUUUUCUUUAUUCUAUAAAUUAUAUUAUAACAUGUCUCAAAAUAUAUCAAUAUAUGUUCUAUUAUCUCCUUAUAAUUGUUCUUAAUAUCUUAGUAGGUAUAUCUCUAGGAGAAUUAUUAAUACAGCAUAUAAUACAUAUUUGACACAAAUUAAGUAUAUAUUUGGACAAUAACUAAUACACAGUUUUCU